GACGAACGCUGGCGGCGUGCUUAACACAUGCAAGUCGAACGGAAAGGCCCUUCGGGGUACUCGAGUGGCGAACGGGUGAGUAACACGUGGGUGAUCUGCCCUGCACUUUGGGACAAGCCUGGGAAGCUGGGUCUAAUACCGAAUAGGACCACGCGCUUCAUGGUGUGUGGUGGAAAGCUUUUGCGGUGUGGGAUGGGCCCGCGGCCUAUCAGCUUGUUGGUGGGGUAAUGGCCUACCAAGGCGACGACGGGUAGCCGGCCUGAGAGGGUGACCGGCCACACUGGGACUGAGAUACGGCCCAGACUCCUACGGGAGGCAGCAGUGGGGAAUAUUGCACAAUGGGCGCAAGCCUGAUGCAGUGACGCCGCGUGAGGGAUGACGGCCUUCGGGUUGUAAACCUCUUUCAAUAGGGACGAAGCGCAAGUGACGGUACCUAUAGAAGAAGCACCGGCCAACUACGUGCCAGCAGCCGCGGUAAUACGUAGGGUGCGAGCGUUGUCCGGAAUUACUGGGCGUAAAGAGCUCGUAGGUGGUUUGUCGCGUUGUUCGUGAAAACUCACAGCUUAACUGUGGGCGUGCGGGCGAUACGGGCAGACUAGAGUACUGCAGGGGAGACUGGAAUUCCUGGUGUAGCAGUGGAAUGCGCAGAUAUCAGGAGGAACACCGGUGGCGAAGGCGGGUCUCUGGGCAGUAACUGACGCUGAGGAGCGAAAGCGUGGGGAGCGAACAGGAUUAGAUACCCUGGUAGUCCACGCCGUAAACGGUGGGUACUAGGUGUGGGUUCCUUCCUUGGGAUCCGUGCCGUAGCUAACGCAUUAAGUACCCCGCCUGGGGAGUACGGCCGCAAGGCUAAAACUCAAAGGAAUUGACGGGGGCCCGCACAAGCGGCGGAGCAUGUGGAUUAAUUCGAUGCAACGCGAAGAACCUUACCUGGGUUUGACAUGCACAGGACGCCGGCAGAGAUGUCGGUUCCCUUGUGGCCUGUGUGCAGGUGGUGCAUGGCUGUCGUCAGCUCGUGUCGUGAGAUGUUGGGUUAAGUCCCGCAACGAGCGCAACCCUUGUCCUAUGUUGCCAGCGGGUUAUGCCGGGGACUCGUAGGAGACUGCCGGGGUCAACUCGGAGGAAGGUGGGGAUGACGUCAAGUCAUCAUGCCCCUUAUGUCCAGGGCUUCACACAUGCUACAAUGGCCGGUACAAAGGGCUGCGAUGCCGUGAGGUGGAGCGAAUCCUUUCAAAGCCGGUCUCAGUUCGGAUCGGGGUCUGCAACUCGACCCCGUGAAGUCGGAGUCGCUAGUAAUCGCAGAUCAGCAACGCUGCGGUGAAUACGUUCCCGGGCCU
Molecule: ribosomal RNA, 1337 nt
Filed under: uncultured bacterium
Lineage: Bacteria
Description: bacterial SSU rRNA
Rfam family: Bacterial small subunit ribosomal RNA
Source: RNAcentral